GCUAAUGCUGUAUAUAUGGCUUGUGUCCAGGCUCUCCUGUGCCCAGAGAGAGAAUAAAGCCAUGUUGAAACUCUCCACAAUUCCUCAAGUGUUUUUCCAACUACCCGCCACUCGCCUGACUCCCCUUGGAUCUCAGUUAGAACCUGACAUUUGGCGUCAUGAACAGAUCCUGAGAUUUAGAAGCAGUGGCACCCUUCUUGUGGCAACAUUUGGCUGCAUAUGGUUGGGCCAUCAACAAAUCCAAGGUCCAAGGGCCUGGAUUAUCUGCGAGAUUCUUGGGAGUUAUCUGGUCAGAUACAAGACUCAAAGGAACCAUGGGGAGCUGAUAAAGUGUGGCACCAUCUCCCAGGGCAAAAGCCCUUGGUGUCUGCAUUGUUAUCCAGAGAUGAAAGGUUAGACUGUAUUUUGCCUGAGGGACAUGAUUUAACUCUGUUAGUACCUGUGCCUGCUCUGUCAUUUCGACUGUAGGUUAACAUGCUCCAACUGCAUUGUGGACUGGGCCCACACCUUCACUGAGGUGACCAAAGUUUCCAACUGUUGGAUCUGCACCAUCCUUCCAGGAGCAGCUGCAGAUGGCUUGCCUUGGCACAUACAUUCAGCAUCUGCAGAGAAUUAGACAUGGCUGGAGACUUUGAGUCCCAUGGCCGACACCUGGAAUGCAACAGGGCAAGCUGCAGACAAAGAAUGCCGCAAGACCCAUAGCAUGCCUGUCCCAUCUUGCCUGUAGCAUUUAUGAUGGGAGGGGCUGGCUAGUGGGGAAAUAUGUAGUACCCCCAGCUCAGGGAUGGCAGUGCAUAGAGCAACACUGGGGUAACACCACUGUGGAAUGGCUACCCUGCAAGGCCUGUGUAAACAUAACACAUGUCACCACACCGAAGAUAUGGUGGAACAUGCGGCCCCACCCAAGGUCAGGCCCUGAUGGAUUUUAUGAUCCCUGGGAGUUUAUGGGUCAUUGAGGACACAGGGUGUCCUUACCUAGCAGCAGACUGGCCUGGACGUUGUACCUGAGUUUGGACUUACGUACCUGGCACUCUUCUCCCUGCUUUGCCCAGAUGCCAGAAUAACUGGGAGGUGCUAUGCUCUCACUUUUUGUGAGUGUGAGGAGGCCCCUGGUGGUUCUUCACCUUGGAAGUGACUAUCCCUGGAAUGGGUGUCAUAACUGUAAAAGCAGAAGUUACUGCUUUUGCAGAGCACACUGCUCGGGCUCUGAAUCACACCCGAGGGGCCCUCCUCCUGUUAAUGGGUGCAGUUGAUCAGAUCAGGAAAGCGGUGUUGCAAAACCGAAUGGCCUUAGACAUAGUAACUGCUGCCCAAGGAGGCAUCUGUGCCCUUUUAGGAACACAAUGUUGUACCUUUAUCCCUGACAGUCAACAGAACAUAACAGCAGCCCUUCAAGGGGUCUCAUGGGAGAAUAAGUUUCUAGGGAGCCUUACUGAUGAACCCCUGCAGAGAUGGAGGGGCAUCCCUAGGCUCUGGCCUAUGCUGGGCCCCAAUAGUUAUAAAUAGUGUAACUGGGAUCCUAGUAGCUUUUGCUCUCUGUAUUGUUGUUGUGGGUUAUAGAUUCAGGGCUCUGCCCUAUGGGCACAUGUCUCUGCCCAGAGGACACUCUUGGCCUAGGGAGUGGAGGGUAAGGAAAAUGGCUGCACUUUAGUCAGGAAUAAGCUGAGGCAGCCUUCCAAAGCAGCAUAACUCAGUGGGUUUGGAGCACAGGUGCACAGCCCUGCACAUUAUGUAACCACACCAUGUGAGGUGCAUUAGGUGAUCACACACGUGUGCUCGUGUUUUGCUCAGAACCACUAUUGUCUGUAAAAGGUAUAAUUACCCUGCUAAAGCUGUACAUAUGGCUCGCCCCCAGGCUCACUCAUGCCCAGACUCACUCGCACUUAGAGAGAGUAAAGCCAUGUCAAAACUGUCUACAAUUCCUUGAGUGUUUCUCCAGCUAACCGCCACUCACCCCACCAACUCCCCUGGGACCCCAGUUAGAACCUGACACCACCCCCUUUCCCUGUAAGAGGAGUGCAUUCCUGCCCACUGCCAUGCAGCUUUCUAUGUCCCCAGUGGGAGGCCCAUGCAUCCGUGUCCCAUCAGCUUUCGGCUUUGACCAAAGGAACAAAAGCAGACAUGACGGAGGCCACAUCCAAGUAGAAACUCUAAGAGGCAGGACAAGUGUCCACAGUACUCCUGGUCUUUCUGCUAUGGGAAUAGCAUAUCCCACUUAGGAAGCUGUUCCUUCAGCUUGAGUCCCUGAAUGGGAAACUGCUGCAGCCGAAGAGAGCUUCAAUCAAUGCAUAGCCUCCCUUUAAUAAACCUUGUGGUAGAAA
This 2321-nucleotide long non-coding RNA is filed under the name Pongo abelii (Sumatran orangutan). RNAcentral describes it as "lincRNA". Lineage: Eukaryota; Metazoa; Chordata; Mammalia; Primates; Hominidae. The record is from RNAcentral.